Molecule: long non-coding RNA, 741 nt
Organism: Cyanistes caeruleus (blue tit)
Lineage: Eukaryota; Metazoa; Chordata; Aves; Passeriformes; Paridae
Source: RefSeq, a predicted model, not a curated record
GGGACACUGAGGGACAGCGGUUGUGGGGACAUUGACACUGAGGACAAAUGCUGAGAUGCCCCAAGAUCAGUCUUGGGCUAUAGUAACACACUGAAGUGCUCUACUUACUGAAAUGCUGACUGGAGCUUGCUAGGAAAACAUUUGGAAUUAAUUAAGAAUGUCAGGCUACAGAUGCUGCUAACAGGAAAGGAAACACAGCAUCAAAUGAGACAUGAGACCAAACAGUGACUCUUUAUCAGGAAUACCCACUGGGAAUGCCAUUCUCUGCUCUCAGGCAGGUUUCUUCUAUGCACUCCUUGAGCUUUUCUUCUUUAAUCAUUUAAUAGUGAGCAUUUUUAGUUUCUCUUCCAAGUGCAGGUUCUCUGAUCCAAGUUACUGGGGAAAUAAAUAUGACUAAAAGAGCUUAAGAGACUCCAGAACUACAAAGGUUGCUUACCUUGUGAGGGAAAUUCUGCUUAUAAAAAAUGUUUCUAUGCUGUCAAGCACCCUAAAAUUAUAUGGGCAGGAGAGCCUUUUUAAAGUAAUUCCAUGAUCUUAAGUCACAAAUGUCCCACUGAAAUUCAAGGGACUUGGCCUCUUUAUUCCUAGAGUUAGAUAGAUAGGUUUAAGCAAAUCUUGCAUUGAUCCUGGGGGAAGAAAAAUGGAAAAAACCUGACAACUGUACUUCCAGUGAUUGCACUUUUAUUUCCUUGGAACCACGUUGGUGUAUCUUUCUAUAAAAUUCACAGUACAAAAAAAAAA